CAGCAGCCGCGGGAAUACCGAGGGUGCGAGCGUUAAUCGGAUUUACUGGGCGUAAAGCGUGCGUAGGCGGCUUCUUAAGUCGGAUGUGAAAUCCCUGAGCUUAACUUAGGAAUUGCAUUCGAUACUGGGAAGCUAGAGUAUGGGAGAGGAUGGUAGAAUUCCAGGUGUAGCGGUGAAAUGCGUAGAGAUCUGGAGGAAUACCGAUGGCGAAGGCAGCCAUCUGGCCUAAUACUGACGCUGAGGUACGAAAGCAUGGGGAGCAAACAGGAUUAGAUACCCCAGUAGUCCCUGUCUCUUAUAC
RNAcentral lists this ribosomal RNA (301 nucleotides) under uncultured bacterium. RNAcentral's name for it is "partial 16S ribosomal RNA". It matches the Rfam family "Bacterial small subunit ribosomal RNA", at positions 509 to 807 of the family's 1533-position model. The record is from RNAcentral.